This 84-nucleotide non-coding RNA is filed under the name Schistosoma japonicum. The record is from RNAcentral. Lineage: Eukaryota; Metazoa; Platyhelminthes; Trematoda; Strigeidida; Schistosomatidae.
UUAAAAGCCCUUAGUGGGCACCCAUACCGCCGGAGACGGAAAUCCGUGAGGUAGGGUGAGGUGUGACAUUUUUUGGGUCGACAU